AGUCGCACGAGAAAGUGGAGCAAUCCAUGAGUACAGUGGCGUACGGGUGAGUAACACGUGGAUCAUCUACCUUCUAGUGGGGAAUACCUCCGGGAAACUGGAGACAAUACCGCAUAAGCUCGUAAGAGGAAAGCAGCAAUGCGCUGGAAGAGGAGUCCGCGGCUGAUUAGCUAGUUGGCGGGGUAACGGCCCACCAAGGCGAAGAUCGGUAGCCGGCCUGAGAGGGCACACGGCCACACUGGCACUGAAACACGGGCCAGACUCCUACGGGAGGCAGCAGUGGGGAAUCUUGCACAAUGGAGGAAACUCUGAUGCAGCGACGCCGCGUGAGCGAUGAAGCCCUUCGGGGUGUAAAGCUCUUUCGACGGGAACGAUAAUGACGGUACCCGAAGAAGAAGCUGCGGCUAACUACGUGCCAGCAGCCGCGGUAAUACGUAGGCAGCAAGCGUUGUUCGGAAUUACUGGGCGUAAAGAGUGUGUAGGCGGUGUUCUAAGUUUGUCGUGAAAUCUCCCGGCUUAACUGGGAGGGUGCGGCGAAAACUGGAAUGCUAGAGGAUGGGAGAGGUAAGCGGAAUUCCUGGUGUAGCGGUGAAAUGCGUAGAUAUCAGGAGGAACACCUGUGGUGUAGACAGCUUACUGGACCAUUUCUGACGCUGAGACACGAAAGCGUGGGUAGCAAACAGGAUUAGAUACCCUGGUAGUCCACGCCCUAAACGAUGCAUACUUGGUGUGAGCGAUUCAUUUCGUUCGUGCCGGAGCUAACGCGUUAAGUAUGCCGCCUGGGGAGUACGGUCGCAAGGCUGAAACUC
RNAcentral lists this ribosomal RNA (809 nucleotides) under uncultured Bacillota bacterium. RNAcentral describes it as "bacterial SSU rRNA". It matches the Rfam family "Bacterial small subunit ribosomal RNA", at positions 60 to 902 of the family's 1533-position model. The record is from RNAcentral. Lineage: Bacteria; Bacillati; Bacillota.